GCCCUUUAAGACUUUCAUUUUCAGGUGCUGAAUUAAAUAUGUGAGAUUAGCAUGAGUUUUAAAAGCUUUAUGAACAGAAAGAAAGACAAUGUCACCUCUACAUACUCAUACCCAAAAUAACUGAAUCCUUAUUUCCAUUUGGGACUGCCGCAUAAAUGGAACCCUACAGAAGAGAGAUUUUUCUUCUGGAGUUUCUCACAUCACUGAGGCAUCACCCAAAAAGCAGUGUG
RNAcentral lists this long non-coding RNA (230 nucleotides) under Anser brachyrhynchus (Pink-footed goose). RNAcentral's name for it is "lncRNA (ENSABRG00000016448.1)". The record is from RNAcentral. Lineage: Eukaryota; Metazoa; Chordata; Aves; Anseriformes; Anatidae.